Molecule: ribosomal RNA, 647 nt
Filed under: uncultured bacterium
Lineage: Bacteria
Description: bacterial SSU rRNA
Rfam family: Bacterial small subunit ribosomal RNA
Source: RNAcentral
AGUCGAGGGGCAGCAUGAUUUGUAGCAAUACAGAUUGAUGGCGACCGGCGCACGGGUGAGUAACGCGUAUGCAACUUACCUAUCAGAGGGGGAUAGCCCGGCGAAAGUCGGAUUAAUACCCCAUAAAACAGGGGUCCCGCAUGGGAAUAUUUGUUAAAGAUUCAUCGCUGAUAGAUAGGCAUGCGUUCCAUUAGGCAGUUGGCGGGGUAACGGCCCACCAAACCGACGAUGGAUAGGGGUUCUGAGAGGAAGGUCCCCCACAUUGGUACUGAGACACGGACCAAACUCCUACGGGAGGCAGCAGUGAGGAAUAUUGGUCAAUGGCCGAGAGGCUGAACCAGCCAAGUCGCGUGAAGGAAGAAGGAUCUAUGGUUUGUAAACUUCUUUUAUAGGGGAAUAAAGUGGAGGACGUGUCCUUUUUUGUAUGUACCCUAUGAAUAAGCAUCGGCUAACUCCGUGCCAGCAGCCGCGGUAAUACGGAGGAUGCGAGCGUUAUCCGGAUUUAUUGGGUUUAAAGGGUGCGUAGGUGGUGAUUUAAGUCAGCGGUGAAAGUUUGUGGCUCAACCAUAAAAUUGCCGUUGAAACUGGGUUACUUGAGUGUGUUUGAGGUAGGCGGAAUGCGUGGUGUAGCGGUGAAAUGCAUAGAU